CUGGAUAAGAUUUAUGCAACACUAUACAUACAAACGAUUAACCAUGUUGCAGUAUAAAUAUGACGGUUUCAGAUGCUUUCUUUUUUCUCCAAACAUAUGGACAAAUGGGAGAAAUUUAACUUCGAAUAUCAUGUAAAUAAUCCUUUAAGUGCAAAAUAUUUCAACCUAUCAAAAAAUAAGCGCAAUAUUUCAGCGGAACAAAAUCAAUUCCCCCAAAUUAUCAUGAGAAUGAUUUUCACAUCAUACUAAUUAUAAACAACAGCUGGAUGAUUUAACAUGAUUGUCCUUAUCUGAUCUUCUUGGUUCUGGCCAAUUCGCAUAAAGAAGCUCAAAAAUAAUGUCACUGGUCCUCAAAAAUAUUGUGUGUUAUGGAGCUCAAAUAGGAGUACGGACAACCUCAUUUUCAAGAGCAACCUCCAUUGCCUGACUGAGAUGUCCAAGGUGGCCAGAUUCUUUUCCACCUAAUCAGGAAAGGGCGCAUACCCAGUAUGUGAAAGACACCCUAGAAAAUUUUAAAUAAUUGGGAUAAUGGGAUUCUUAAUCUUUUCCACCUGCUCCUAACUAGGAAAGGGUGCAAACCCAGUAUAUGUUCUGGCAUGAAGUCAUGCCUCGUCAAUAUACCCACAACAGGAGAUCUACCAGAGAUCUUGGGUAUCACAAGCAGGUGCCUCAAACCAAGUUCUCGAAAUAGCACGCGAGCCUUAGCUAGUGACAUUGUCUCCACAACAGUAUAAGGUGAAGCAUUAGUGAAAGGAUGCAAAUCUAAAUACAUCUCCAUCUCUUCUUCAGUAAUUUCUAUAUAUUCUAUCUUGUCACCAUUGCCUGAGCCCUUCUUUGAAAAGUCACUAGCUGAGAAUUGAUUAAAGGCAUCAGCACCUAUUGGCACUGGAGUGGAUGAAAAAACCUUCUUCUUUAGCAAUUCAAUAAGAUGAGCACGGAGUAUUAGUCCAUAAAGAACUGGAGAUUCAGAAAGUGGAGAAUCAUCAAUUACAGGAAAUCCAUUAUGUCUUGUUGUUUGGAGAACAUGUACUAUAUUACCAACCUUCUCAAGGCCAUGAAACAGCUGAAGUGGACCUGUGACUACAUCACCAACUGUCAGCUGCCUCAUGUAAGGCUCAGAAUGCAUUUCUAGAUAAGGAAAACCCUUCACUUUCAUGAUAAGGUCAUAUAUGUUACCAUUAAAAGCAUCAGCCACAGUCUUGGAAACAAGAAGAACCAACAUUAUCAGGGGUAGUAGCAACAGAUUAUUGGUCAAUUCUAGGAUAAUGACACAUAAAGAAACUGUCAUCCUCAUAGAUCCACCAAGAAAUGAAGCAGCACCUAGCACAGCAUAGAGGCCAUGAUUAAGACUCGAUUCUGAACCAACUAGCAUUCCUACAAAACGUCCAUAAGAUGCGCCUGUCACAAUAACUGGUACAAAAAGACCCGCAGGAACAACAAUCCCAUAGCUAAAAAUACUGAGAAAAAAGCAUGUUACAAAAAAUAUGAGAAUUGAUGAAUAUUGAAACUCAGAAUCAGUGUCCCUGCUGAAAAGAUUUCUAAUAGCAUCAUCAUUUGUGUUAAAAAUGAGGCUAGCAAGAUCAUUGUAAUGACCAGGUUGGCAUUGAAAUUUCUUGUAGUUGCCAGACCGGCCUAUUGUUGGACAGGCUUCGGAUGCAUCAGCUGGACAAGGUUGGCAUGAGGCCAGCCAAGGUAAUCCAAAAAGAAGACAGGAUGUGAAUAUAGAGAUUGAACAAGCAAGAAAAAUUCUGUAAAAAAUGCCUUUCUCAUUAAUAAGGUUGUAAACCCGAAGAACCAUAUCUAGAAGAAAAUUAUACAAACUUCCCAAUAUGCCCCCUAUGACUCCAAGGAGAAGCACCGAUGGCACAUCAAUGAGAUGAUAUGUAACAUUUGCAGAAUAGACGUCAAACAUUAUGAGCCCCCCUGUACCAAAUAGCCCACAUUUGCCACUCAAACACAAAUCAAUCAAAGCCCGAAGCACUAUUGCAACUACAGCUGUUACGAAGAAAGCUCUCCACAGAAGGGCACUUCUCCACCAAGAUGCCAUUUCUUCAAGAGCAAACAGCACACCACCAACUGGGGCACGAAAGGCAGCAGCGAUCCCAGCAGCUGAUCCACAUGUUACAAGAUCUCGCCGAUCUCGGUCAUUUUUGAAAAAGCGUAGCCAUUUCCAGGUUAAUCUAUAUUUCUUAGACCCACCCUGACCCAACAAUGAUGCAACACAUGCACCAAUGUGCACCAUGGGCCCUGCCUUUCCAAUAUGAAGAGAUGAUGACACUGCAGAAAUGCUUCCAAUAAUCUGCCAAAUGAACAAAAAUGAGACUUUCACAUAUUAAUUGAAGAAAACGAGAAGUCUCUUACAUUAGUCAUGAGAAAUAUGGAAAAAUUUAAGCAAUUCCAUUUGAGAAAAAUUUAGGCCUUGAGGACAAUGUUUGCUCAUGAUGCCAUUUUUUUUUUCUUAAAAGUGCAUAACAUUAAUAUGCAUGAGUACAUAAGUUCAGUAAUAGGUUAAAUUGGAUGAAUAAGAUGAACAUGAGAGUAAAAUGUGGGUGGAAAGGCAAAGGACAACCCACUCACACUCUCACAGUGGCCAAAGCUAUACUAGUUCAAACAUCACAUCUAUGCACACGCUUAUGAUAUCGUAAAGUAACAUAUUUUAAACCUUAGAUUUGUGCAUUCUCCAUACCAUAAUACAAAACUAAGAAGGUUGUAUCAAAGUAAUAAAUGCCUUUCUUCAAUCAACUCACAAAUAAAUAUAUCUCGAGAAUAUAUCAAGUAAAAUGGUAGUUAAGAGAGAGAAAGAGAACAAUUUUCCAAAAUUCCUAAGAAAUAUUAGACCAUUGGACAUUAAACAUGCAUAAAAAACAUUCAACAGCAAACUGACCUCAAUAAAACCUUCUGCACACUAUAGCAAACAAUUAUACAUCAAUGCGAUUCAGAAUGUAAAAUGCUUUCAGAAAGCUCUCCUUACAUUUCAAAUAUCAGGGUCAUUUAUACAAUAUUGAACUGAAGCCCAGCCAGUGGCAUAUCACCCUUAUAACAGUGUGGAUUGGUGAUGCAGUAUUAGAAGUAGACUAAACUUACGAAUUAUAUUCAUUCUUCUUCCAACUAUGCAUCAAUUGGACUCAGCUCAAAGAAUUAAGAUGUUGGCAAAAAGAGACAAUCGCUAAGUUUCACACUUCACACACUAUCCAAUUCAGCAUAUCACUUCUGGUCUUAUGUCACUCUAAUAGGCAUAGUCAUUCAGCAAGCUCACAAACACACUUGCCUUGACAAACAAAGUUCGCAAGGAAAGAAUUCCGGGUGCAUCCACACCAUUCAGAUAAGCUUUCACUUCUGGUAUACCUGAACCAGCAGCAGCCGGAGCUACAAAAGCCGUGACUAUGGAUGCGAACAGGGUAAGAACCAAAUUAGAGACUGAGAACACAAGAAAUGCCAUACCAUACCUAUUAAAGAGCAUCAUAUUGGAAGUGAUGACAAACUUAAUACCAGCAAUAUUCUCAACAGCAAUAUUAUUAAAAAACCCAAUAAGGCUAACGAUAACCCCAAUCAAGAAGCAAAGCGACCACUUCAUGAACACGUAUUGAAAAAUCUGGAUCUUUCCACGGGUCCUCCAGUCCUGCUUGAAGAAAUCAUUCUCCGCAAUCUCGUAGUCGAGGCUUUCAAUAGGGCAGACAUUGGCGCCGACGAUAGCAACCUGAGAGGUGGAGUUGGCGAGGGAACGAUGAGAGGUGAGAAGAGGAAGUGUGAGAGAUUCUUGGUCUGUUGCUCCAUUGAUGGAAUUUGUGGACAUGGUGUUCCCUUGUCUGGAGCGUAAUGCAAGGUUUCAAUUAGGGAACACUUGGAGAUAUUUAUUAUUCAACAGAGGGACAGAGAGAGUUGAGAAUUCAAUUGUUUGAAGGAUGAAGAAGGAGACGGGAGUUUGAGAGAGAGCAAGAGUUUGCAGUUUCUGGGUUUGGUGGGGAAAGUGAGAUGGGAAUAGAA
This 3984-nucleotide unclassified non-coding RNA is filed under the name Hevea brasiliensis (rubber tree). The record is from RNAcentral. Lineage: Eukaryota; Viridiplantae; Streptophyta; Magnoliopsida; Malpighiales; Euphorbiaceae.